This 516-nucleotide ribosomal RNA is filed under the name uncultured bacterium. Its description in RNAcentral is "bacterial SSU rRNA". It matches the Rfam family "Bacterial small subunit ribosomal RNA", at positions 202 to 719 of the family's 1533-position model. The record is from RNAcentral.
AAGGGUAACACCGGCUACGGAUGGCCAUGCGGCGCAUUAGCUAGUUGGCGGGGUAACGGCCCACCAAGGCGACGAUGCGUAGGGGUUCUGAGAGGAAGGUCCCCCACACUGGUACUGAGACACGGACCAGACUCCUACGGGAGGCAGCAGUGAGGAAUAUUGGUCAAUGGGCGCGAGCCUGAACCAGCCAAGUCGCGUGAGGGAAGACGGUCCUAUGGAUUGUAAACCUCUUUUGUCGGGGAGCAAAAGACGCCACGCGUGGCGUUCCGAGAGUACCCGAAGAGAAAGCAUCGGCUAACUCCGUGCCAGCAGCCGCGGUAAUACGGAGGAUGCGAGCGUUAUCCGGAUUUAUUGGGUUUAAAGGGUGCGCAGGCGGAAGAUCAAGUCAGCGGUAAAAUUGAGAGGCUCAACCUCUUCGAGCCGUUGAAACUGGUUUUCUUGAGUGAGCGAGAAGUAUGCGGAAUGCGUGGUGUAUCGGUGAAAUGCAUAUAUAUCACACAGAACUCCGAUUGCGAA